CCACGCCCGCCAUCUUCCGCUAGAGAAUUCCGGCUCCUCCCGCAAUGGAGAGGGUGCUCUGGAAGCUCUGGGGUUGGGGUCUCUUCGUCCCUGCAGGGAAGUUGGGGGUCCCAGAUGAUGGUCCUGUUUUCUUUGUAAUAAAGUAGGUGUUACAAAGUUUGGAGGAGGGCGCCUUUUAGGAAUCCCACCUAAAAGAACACCUCUUUGGACUAACCCUCUCACUGGUACUUCAAAGCAGAGGAAGUGUCACAGCUAUGCUUCCAGAGUGCUCUGUGCAUUUCCAUGAUCAACAAACGAUGAAUAAAUCUCUG
Molecule: long non-coding RNA, 311 nt
Filed under: Pongo abelii (Sumatran orangutan)
Lineage: Eukaryota; Metazoa; Chordata; Mammalia; Primates; Hominidae
Description: lincRNA
Source: RNAcentral